AUCUUUGCGCUUGGGGCAAUGACGCAGUUAGUGAGGUGAACCGAGACACGUCAAUUGCUCGUUGAAAACUAUUUCCAAACUAU
RNAcentral lists this small nuclear RNA (83 nucleotides) under Marchantia polymorpha subsp. ruderalis. RNAcentral's name for it is "U4 spliceosomal RNA". It matches the Rfam family "U4 spliceosomal RNA", at positions 1 to 83 of the family's 138-position model. Rfam says of the family: U4 small nuclear RNA (U4 snRNA) is a component of the major U2-dependent spliceosome. Lineage: Eukaryota; Viridiplantae; Streptophyta; Marchantiopsida; Marchantiales; Marchantiaceae. The record is from Rfam by way of RNAcentral.